AGGAAUAUUGGUCAAUGGCCGAGAGGCUGAACCAGCCAAGUCGCGUGAGGGAAGACGGCCCUACGGGUUGUAAACCUCUUUUGUCGGGGAGCAAAGCGAACCACGUGUGGUUCAUUGAGAGUACCCGAAGAAAAAGCAUCGGCUAACUCCGUGCCAGCAGCCGCGGUAAUACGGAGGAUGCGAGCGUUAUCCGGAUUUAUUGGGUUUAAAGGGUGCGCAGGCGGAGGUGCAAGUCAGCGGUCAAAUUGCGGGGCUCAACCCCGUACUGCCGUUGAAACUGCAUCCCUUGAGUGCGCGAGAAGUAUGCGGAAUGCGUGGUGUAGCGGUGAAAUGCAUAGAUAUCACGCAGAACUCCGAUUGCGAAGGCAGCAUACCGGCGCGCAACUGACGCUCAUGCACGAAAGCGUGGGUAUCGAAC
RNAcentral lists this ribosomal RNA (418 nucleotides) under uncultured bacterium. Its description in RNAcentral is "bacterial SSU rRNA". It matches the Rfam family "Bacterial small subunit ribosomal RNA", at positions 357 to 773 of the family's 1533-position model. The record is from RNAcentral.